This is a long non-coding RNA of Oncorhynchus tshawytscha (Chinook salmon), 1469 nucleotides long. Lineage: Eukaryota; Metazoa; Chordata; Actinopteri; Salmoniformes; Salmonidae. The record is from Ensembl.
CGGAAAUCCACCCCUGCCAAAAUUUUCCCCCCCAUUGGCGUGAACGCCCACACACUAAAUUUUUCAUUGCUGCUACUUGCUGAGAAGCCCCUGACUGCAGGGUGCAGUUCUCGGCCGGGCUCAAUGUGGGCGGAGUCAAACGGUUUAACCCAAAACCUUCCCAUCUCCUUCGAGGUCACGCAAGUUGAGGUAAAGUCAAUGGUGUCAACGAAAGCGAAUCUCAAUCGAACCUAACCUACAUGGAUAGCACUAUAAACCAUGGAAGGCCUACCAAAGUAAGGUUUCUCAAGCAACUGUGAGAUGUUUGUUUUGAUGAUGAUACUGAAAACAAAAUGCACGACGAGCUGUGUCCUGGGAAGCAGAUGUUCUUCUAAGGGACACCCUAGAGGCAGCAAGGUGAUGUGAACUCCAAACAUUUAAAGGCACUGUUCCCCUCCCUAGUGUAAUUGGGAUGGAAGGGGAAGACCGCAUUACAACCCUUAAAGAACUACAGUUGUAUGAUGGCCUGGAUGAAGAGAAAAAUGUUCUCCUCAAGGAACCAUUCAUGUUACAGAGAGAUUAUAAUUUGUUCUAUUUGGAGGCAGUUGACAACAAGAAAAUUACUGUCUUUGUCUUUUGAGGAGCAAAGCCAUUUUUGAGGAGUGGUCAAACUUUGUCUGCUGUGUUAAUUGUUUCAAUUGUUAAUUGUGUUAUGUUUAGUAAAGAUGACGUAGAAGUCACCCGAGUCUCUGAUCUCUUCACUGGAGCUGGUAUAACUUAAUGUACAAAGCACAUUCAGCUUGUCAGUAUGUCUAUAUGGUAUAGUCUGUCUCCAUUCUCAUGAGGAAAGUAAAUAACAUUAUAAAUCAGGAUGGGUAGUAACUGUGUGUAUAUGCUCAAUUAAAUAAUAUAAUUACAAAGUUAUAACAUUUAUCAACACAAUUUUAACAGUAAAUAACAAGUCUGCUGUUCACUGCAACUAUCAGUAGUUUGUCUCAAAUAUAGCAUGAAGCAAAAAGUGUUACAUCUGCUGGUACUUGUAAGAAAUAUUAUAUAAAUCUUCAAAAAUGAAAUAUGUUUGUAUUCAACUUGUGCCUUGCGCAAAUGUGUGUUACUGUCAAACAUCAGAUGGACAAAAAAAUGUGGGCAGGGUCAAAUGUGAGCAGAGUCAAACGUUUGACUCCACCCACAUUGAACCCAGCCCCGAAUUGCACACUGCAGUCAGGGGUACUUGGACUUGCUUGCUGGUUGAGAUUUCUGCUCUUCACUCCAUUGUCAGUUUAGCCUACAUUUCACUGAUCAUAGGAGCAGAAAUGGUUUUUUAUUUGUGUCCUUCAAGGCAGCUGUCAAUGAUCACGUUAGGCUGUGUUUCAUUUGAUUUGUUAUGGCGGUUUGAUCGCAGAGGAGACACUAGUAAUGUCUGCAGUUUUCGGUUUGUCAUUUUGUUUCAAAUGUAUUAGUCUAAUAAUAAAUCUCUUCGCCAAAAUUAA